AAUGAACGCUGGCGGCAUGCCUAACACAUGCAAGUCGAACGAAGGCUUCGGCCUUAGUGGCGCACGGGUGCGUAACGCGUGGGAAUCUGCCCCUUGGUUCGGAAUAACAGUUGGAAACGACUGCUAAUACCGGAUGACGACGUAAGUCCAAAGAUUUAUCGCCGAGGGAUGAGCCCGCGUAGGAUUAGGUAGUUGGUGUGGUAAAGGCGCACCAAGCCGACGAUCCUUAGCUGGUCUGAGAGGAUGAUCAGCCACACUGGGACUGAGACACGGCCCAGACUCCUACGGGAGGCAGCAGUGGGGAAUAUUGGACAAUGGGCGAAAGCCUGAUCCAGCAAUGCCGCGUGAGUGAUGAAGGCCUUAGGGUUGUAAAGCUCUUUUACCCGGGAUGAUAAUGACAGUACC
Molecule: ribosomal RNA, 405 nt
Filed under: uncultured bacterium
Lineage: Bacteria
Description: bacterial SSU rRNA
Rfam family: Bacterial small subunit ribosomal RNA
Source: RNAcentral